This is a small nucleolar RNA of Ipomoea nil (Japanese morning glory), 108 nucleotides long. It matches the Rfam family "Plant small nucleolar RNA R71". Rfam says of the family: R71 is a member of the C/D box family of snoRNAs containing the C (UGAUGA) and D (CUGA) box motifs. Multiple nearly identical copies of this snoRNA have been identified in Arabidopsis, and it is thought to function as a 2'-O-ribose methylation guide for 18S ribosomal RNA. The record is from Rfam. Lineage: Eukaryota; Viridiplantae; Streptophyta; Magnoliopsida; Solanales; Convolvulaceae.
UAGCCAUGGUGGGGGCAUUGAAUGAGCAACAUUUUGAACCUUUCUCAUGCCUCAUGGAACGGUUCGCCUUCAGCUUGCGAGAAAGUUACAAUUUUUCUUCUUAAUUCA